GAUGAACGCUGGCGGCGUGCCUAAUACAUGCAAGUCGAGCGAACAGAUGAGGAGCUUGCUCCUCUGACGUUAGCGGCGGACGGGUGAGUAACACGUGGAUAACCUACCUAUAAGACUGGGAUAACUUCGGGAAACCGGAGCUAAUACCGGAUAAUAUAUUGAACCGCAUGGUUCAAUAGUGAAAGACGGUUUUGCUGUCACUUAUAGAUGGAUCCGCGCCGCAUUAGCUAGUUGGUAAGGUAACGGCUUACCAAGGCAACGAUGCGUAGCCGACCUGAGAGGGUGAUCGGCCACACUGGAACUGAGACACGGUCCCGACUCCUACGGGAGGCAGCAGUAGGGAAUCUUCCGCAAUGGGCGAAAGCCUGACGGAGCAACGCCGCGUGAGUGAUGAAGGUCUUCGGAUCGUAAAACUCUGUUAUUAGGGAAGAACAAAUGUGUAAGUAGCUAUGCACGUCUUGACGGUACCGAAACAGAAAGCAACGGCUAACUACGUG
Molecule: ribosomal RNA, 497 nt
Filed under: uncultured bacterium
Lineage: Bacteria
Description: partial 16S ribosomal RNA
Rfam family: Bacterial small subunit ribosomal RNA
Source: RNAcentral